GGUGGUGGUGGUAAUGAAUAGUGGUGAGUGGUGGUGGUAGAGAGAGAAUGAGAGUUUUUCAAUCGCCAGAGGAAAUGAGGUGGUUAGGAGUUUUUUUUUUUGAUGUGAGAGGGAGCCAGCAAUUAGUCAGCAUAGAGUGCAAAAAAAAAAAAGAAAAAAAAGAAAAAGAAAAUCCACGUCAGCAGUUUCCGUUAGCAAUUGGACAGAUAGACGGCGGGUGCCUAUUUUAGGGGGUUUUGUAAGUUCAGGUAUUUAUUUGGAAAUAAAACGAAGUAGAGGUGCUUAUGGAAUAUUUGGAUAAAGGUUAAAGGGCGAGAUGAAAAUUUUCUCAAUAGUUAAAUCAGGGUUUCGAGUCUUUUGCACAGACCCCUUUUCCUCGCUUCCUCUCCGUCGCUUCCUCUCAUUUCCGGACGUCAAUGGACGACAACGUCGACUUCAACGUCGAUGGAGUUUAUGAUAUCGCAGAGGUGAAGAGAAUUUUUGAUAGGCAGAAGAUUUGGAAACACUUCUGGUUCUGGCAUCUGCUUUCACACCGUUCUUUGGGUUUGCAUAUUUAGCGUCUGUGGGAAACCAUUGUAGUUAUGUUCAAUUUAGAAUAGUUUUGAGUUGAGUUGAACAGUUCGACGAAGGUUCUCUAAAUCUGGUUGCAGGUCCAAGGUAUUCAACCCUAUAAAGGUCAAAUUCUCCUUUGAAUCGUUUGGUUGGUUUGGAUACAAAUUAUCUUGAGUGGUGUCUAUAAUAUUCCCCAAUCGCUUUUCCCUUUUUCCAUGGCCCAUAUGCAUUUGAUGUUCUCUAUAUUGGCUGGAUCCAUUAGGAGCCAUUACCAACAAUGGUGUGCAUUUCCAUGUAUCCAGAAAAAGUGAUUAAAUGCAGCUUGUAUUCGGUAGAGAUCUAUAAUAUGGCUUUUGUGCAUCUAAUUUAGGCGCAGCUUGUUACUUCUUUGCAAGUAGGUGUUAACAACUACGCAGUCGCUCAAUUGUCAGAUACACCACUUUUAUGGUGUGAGGUUUGGAAUUUGAGCAGAUGGAGGAGGUCAUCAAACCACUAACAUCUUCCAUCUGGAGAGAAGGGAAAAAAAGGAGCAGGUGUGGGUGUAUGACAUACUUAAAGUCCCAUAUUUGUUUUAGGGUCGAUAAUUGGUAGGCCCAAUCUAAUAAUCUAUACUCAGAGAUAGAAACUCGUGUUUGGAUCUUGAAUUUUUCAAGGUAAAGGAGAAAAUGAGAUUAUUUUUGAAUGUAGAUUUAAUACAAAUUAUCUAUACAACACAAAAUUGACUAUUUUUUUUUUUUCCAUAUCUUAUGCCUAUUCCUUGUUUCUUCAGUUGCAUUUUGAUAGGGAAGAAGCUGUUGCCGGAAACGCUCUCCAAAAAGUGUGUUGGUCUCAUGCAAAAGUUUAUGAAUAGCGCUUGAAGAUAAAGGAACAACAGGAGAAAAAUGUAGAGGAGUGACAGUCUAUGUUAACACAGCUUUAGCAGUUGGAAGAAAAGAAAGUGGUGGCAGUAAAAGAACGGGAAAAAGUCGAAAGAGAACUCGAGGAAAUGACAAUGGGGAUGAAUAAAUGGAAGGAGAUACCCCCUGUCCCGAUUUGUUCGUCUACUUUUUACUUCUUUUUUAUUUUUAUUUUUAUGAACUGGUUUACUAUUUUAAUUUAAUAUCUAGGAAAGUGAGGGGUAUUUUUCUUUUUGUGUUGUAGGCUAGUGAGGUGGAGCCCGUAUCUCUUUUGGACCCAUGAUAUUUAGCUGUUAAUAUGGAAGGAUUGUUGGAGCAAAAUAGUGGUUUCUAUUUGUGUGCUGUUUUUUAUGGGAGGACUUGGAACUCUUUGCCAUAUCUUGUUUAAUAGAAAAUUACAUAUUUAGGUAGAAAGAAUUCAUUUUUUUAUAUGAGCUACAAGAGAUAUAGGUUCUAGCAUCCUUUUUUUGAUAAUUUAGGCGACGUCUGAGCCAACUUUGGCCUUGAUAACAUGUUUUCUAGUAAUUACAAAAGUGUUGGUGCUUGUCCUUUUGGUGGUUUGCUCCUGGAUUGAUCUUUUAUUGGGAGUUCAUCGUGGUAACGACAUUAUUUUGGUUGUAGGACAUGGGCUUUUGCCCCAUAAAGCCCAAUUGGGGAAUUUAUGGCCUUGAAUGUUGUCUACCCCCUUACUAUCUUAUUCCUCCCUAAAUAAUACACCAAAAACUCAUACUGCAUCCAAUUGAGCCCUAAUUUCAACAAGCAAACACCCCAGACUACCGGCCAAUCAUUUUGUGAUGUGGUUUACAAAUUGAUUGCGAGGUGGACUUCAAUCGGUGGUUCAGUAAUAAUCUCUAUAUAGUAUAGCAAUGAGUAUUUUCUUCUCUGUUACCCUUUAGGCUGGUGUUUAAUGCUACAACAUUCAAGGCCAUAAAUUCCCCAACCGGGCUUUAUGGGGCAAAAGCCCACAACCAAAACAAUGUCGUUACCACGAUGAACUCCCAAUAAAAGAUCAAUCCAGGAGCUAACACCAGAAGGACAAGCACCAACACUUCUGUAAUUACUAGAAAACAUGUUAUCAAGGCCAAAGUUGGCUCGGACGUCACCUGAAUUAUCAAAAAAAAGGAUGCUAGAAACUAUACCUCCUGUAGCUCAUAUAACAAAAUGAACUCUGUCUACCUAGAUAUGUAAUUUUCUAUUAAACAAGUUAUGGCAAAGCGUUCCAGGUCCUCCCAAAACAGCACACAAAUAGAAACCAUUAUUUUGCUCCAACAAUCCUUCCAUAUUAACACCUAAAUAUCAUGGGUCCGAAAGAGAUAUGGGCUCCACCUCACUAGCCUACAACACAAAAAGAAAAAUACCCAUCACUUUUCUCGAUAUUAAAUUAAAAAAGUAAACCAGUUCAUAGAAAUAAAAAAGAAGUAAAAAGUAGACAAACAAAUCGGGGAGUACCACCUUCCAUUUAUUCAUCUCCAUUGUCAUUUCCUCGAGUUCUCUUUUGACUUUUUCCCAUUCUUUU
This is a long non-coding RNA of Rhododendron vialii, 2964 nucleotides long. RefSeq lists it as uncharacterized. The transcript is spliced from 3 exons. The record is from RefSeq and is a predicted model, not a curated record. Lineage: Eukaryota; Viridiplantae; Streptophyta; Magnoliopsida; Ericales; Ericaceae.